Long non-coding RNA from Branchiostoma floridae (Florida lancelet), 471 nucleotides. RefSeq lists it as uncharacterized. The record is from RefSeq and is a predicted model, not a curated record. The transcript has 3 exons. Lineage: Eukaryota; Metazoa; Chordata; Leptocardii; Amphioxiformes; Branchiostomatidae.
AACAAUGGCGUUCACCCUCUUAAUGACAUAACAACCACUGCGGCCACAUUUGAGAACUUUGCCCGUGUGGUGUGCCCCCUCCCGCGGUCCCGUGUGAGGAGGAGUGCUGCAGCCGGACACAGGACAACAGCCGAGGCGACACUCGUCUCCAUCAGUAACGACGGUGUGCGCUUCAGUCCCCCGGUCCUGCUCAUCACGUAUGACGCCGUCUGUCAAGACUGUAACGUCACCGGGUUCUGUGUUCUCAGGAACGACUCCUGUGAGAUAGACGGUGCUUGCUACGCCAGUGGGGAAACACAAAUUGGCAAUCCUUGUAAACAGUGUGACCCGUCAGUUAACGUGUCAACAUGGAGCGAUCGUGGCUGCUCGUGCCAGCCGUGCUUCCCGGAAGUGACGUGUACAGACGUACCAGGUGGACACGAGUGUGGGGACUGCCCGCAUGGCCUGACGGGAGACGGGAAGAACUGCACU